Long non-coding RNA from Harmonia axyridis, 479 nucleotides. RefSeq lists it as uncharacterized. The transcript has 2 exons. Lineage: Eukaryota; Metazoa; Arthropoda; Insecta; Coleoptera; Coccinellidae. The record is from RefSeq and is a predicted model, not a curated record.
UAUGGCCUUCAUCGUUAUUUUCUUCAAAGACAAAUAGAAUGUGGAUUUCUUUCAUUAAAGCUUUUUGAACAGUCAAAUGCCAUGAUUGCGUUACUCUCCGAGAUGUUGUAGUGAGGGCUUCCCAAUGAUGUUCUAUAUAAGAUUGGCGAUUGCCGUUACACACAUCUGUGUUAUUUCUGAAAGAAUAGUUCAUCUUUAGCUAUGUACUAUAGAAAUAUAGAAAGAGAUGUUUCUUACGUGCUUGCGUUUUCCUGAAACUUUCAAGGUUAGAAGGUGAACAAUUUUUGCAUAGAAAUACAUAGUUAGUCAGGAAUGGCACUAAUUUUCCCAUUUGAUAUCCAAUGCAGGAUUCAUGAAACCAUCUAUUACAAUUGGCACAUAAUAACUCAGCUAUAUUCAAAUUUCUUUCUUUACCACUGUAAAUAUUUAAUUAUAAGAUUCGUCAUUAGAAAUGUAUCUAAUUAAACUAAUGAAAAUAA